UCAACAUUCGGGCUGUCGGUCAACCAAGCAAUUUCAGCCGCUCGGUGGAAGAUCUUCCCUUUGCCGU
This 67-nucleotide microRNA precursor is filed under the name Bombyx mori (domestic silkworm). RNAcentral describes it as "mir-2774 microRNA precursor family". It matches the Rfam family "mir-2774 microRNA precursor family". Lineage: Eukaryota; Metazoa; Arthropoda; Insecta; Lepidoptera; Bombycidae. The record is from Rfam by way of RNAcentral.